This 476-nucleotide ribosomal RNA is filed under the name uncultured organism. Its description in RNAcentral is "partial 16S ribosomal RNA". It matches the Rfam family "Bacterial small subunit ribosomal RNA", at positions 331 to 798 of the family's 1533-position model. The record is from RNAcentral.
GUACACUCCUACGGGAGGCAGCAAUGGGGAAUAUUGCACAAUGGGCGCAAGCCUGAUGCAGCCAUGCCGCGUGUAUGAAGAAGGCCUUCGGGUUGUAAAGUACUUUCAGCGGGGAGGAAGGCGAUAAGGUUAAUAACCUUGUCGAUUGACGUUACCCGCAGAAGAAGCACCGGCUAACUCCGUGCCAGCAGCCGCGGUAAUACGGAGGGUGCAAGCGUUAAUCGGAAUUACUGGGCGUAAAGCGCACGCAGGCGGUCUGUCAAGUCGGAUGUGAAAUCCCCGGGCUCAACCUGGGAACUGCAUUCGAAACUGGCAGGCUAGAGUCUUGUAGAGGGGGGUAGAAUUCCAGGUGUAGCGGUGAAAUGCGUAGAGAUCUGGAGGAAUACCGGUGGCGAAGGCGGCCCCCUGGACAAAGACUGACGCUCAGGUGCGAAAGCGUGGGGAGCAAACAGGAUUAGAAACCCGAGUAGUCCCAU